UGAGGAAUAUUGGGCAAUGCCCGCAAGGGUGACCCAGCAACGCCGCGUGGAGGAUGAAUGUCGUAAGAUUGUAAACUCCUGUUAGAGGGGAAGAAUAGUACCGGUUGGACCGGUAUAUGACUGUACCCUCAGAGAAAGCCCCGGCUAACUACGUGCCAGCAGCCGCGGUAAUACGUAGGGGGCAAGCGUUGUCCGGAUUUACUGGGUGUAAAGGGCGCGCAGGCGGGAUAAAAAGUCAGUGGUGAAAUCCUACAGUUUAACUGUAGAACUGCCUUUGAUACUUUUAUUCUUGAGUUCGGGAGAGAGAGACGGAAUUCCAGGUGUAGUGGUGAAAUACGUAGAUAUCUGGAAGAACACCAGUUGCGAAGGCGGUCUCUUGGUCCGACACUGACGCUGAGGCGCGAAAGCGUGGGGAGCAAACA
RNAcentral lists this ribosomal RNA (422 nucleotides) under uncultured bacterium. RNAcentral's name for it is "bacterial SSU rRNA". It matches the Rfam family "Bacterial small subunit ribosomal RNA", at positions 355 to 774 of the family's 1533-position model. The record is from RNAcentral.